UGGGGGAUCGUCUAACGGUAGGACACGAGACUCUGGAUCUCGGCGUCUAGGUUCAAGUCCUAGUCCCCCAGCCA
Molecule: transfer RNA, 74 nt
Filed under: Candidatus Omnitrophota bacterium
Lineage: Bacteria; Pseudomonadati; Candidatus Omnitrophota
Description: tRNA-Gln
Rfam family: tRNA
About the family: Transfer RNA (tRNA) molecules are approximately 80 nucleotides in length. Their secondary structure includes four short double-helical elements and three loops (D, anti-codon, and T loops).
Source: RNAcentral